Molecule: non-coding RNA, 21834 nt
Organism: Pelobates cultripes (western spadefoot toad)
Lineage: Eukaryota; Metazoa; Chordata; Amphibia; Anura; Pelobatidae
Source: the annotation of a GenBank genome assembly
AGCUGAAGGAUUACUGGAAGGCCCUGUGAAAGAUUUAAAAACUGGAAUCUUGGCUACCGAGAACUUAAUGGAAAAAAGUGAAACACAGAUGACAAAACCUGAAGGUAUUUUCACCUUUCUUUCUUUAUCUUUGUGAUUUCGUUACAUUUAGAUGCAUACCUAUGUUAAUGGAAAAAAUAUAAUUUAAACUUUUUUUUUUUUCCUUGGAUAAUCCUUCAGUUCUCUAACUCUAGCUCUUGAGUCCUCUGAGUCUCUUUUUCCCUGAUCUCAUCUCUGCAGUACUCCUGUAUGAAUAAGUUGAGUUUGACUGCUUCAGCUCCAUAAUAAAUGCUUCUGCUGCUACAACAUGUGCCUACUACUCUUGAUUCUUUUACUGCAGAUGCAAUAAGGAGUCUUUAAAUAUCUUGCUGAUUUGACACUGUGCUGUGAUAUGGUUUUACAUCUUAUCAUUUAACUAACUUUCUAGCUUUAGCUUUCUAGUGAAAUUAAUCCGAAUUAGAACGUAACUGAAAUCAUAAGAUAUCAAUGAAGAGACCGUAAUUAGUACACUAAAUACAUUGUGCUCAAGGUUAAAGCAGCAGGAUAGUGGUAGAUUACCACAACAGCUCUCAGUAUGGUCAAUAUGUGGUUGUAAUAUAGAGUCAAGAAAUAGCUGAGAUUAAAACUGUCCGAAUCAGUUUACUCAUAGAGUUGCAUAGUGUUGCAUCAAUAGCUGCAGUGUGGACAGAAUUGUUAUACUCAAUGACAGCCCCAGUCAGCGGGACUUCACAAUUUUUUGUAUUAGCCACAGCAUAAUGUGAUGGCAGAUAAGAACCAUUUGGCCCUUCUAGUCUGACCAAUUUUCUAAAUACUAUAAUUAAUCCCUGGCCUUUAUUUUAAGCCUAGGAUAGCCUUAUAUUCCACGCAUGCUUAACCCCUUAAGGACACAUGACGUGUGACAUGUCAUGAUUCCCUUUUAUUCCAGAAGUUUGGUCCUUAAGGGGUUAAACUCCCUCACUGUGUUAACCUCUACCACUUCAGCUGGAAGGCCAUUCCAUGCGUCCACUACCUCCUCUGUAAAGUAAUACUUCCUAAAAUUGUUACCCCUUUUGCCCCUAAAUUUAAGAUUGUCCUCUUGUUGUGGUCGUUAUUAUUCUUUUAAAUAUCGCCUUCAUUUCUUUGUUGAUUCCUUUUAUGUAUUUAAAGGUUUUUAUCAUAUCCCCCCGUCUCGUCUUUGCUCCAAGCUAUACAUGUUAAGAUCCUUUAACCUUUCUUGGUAAGUUUUAUCCUGCAAUCAAUAAACCAGUUUAGUAGCCCUUCUCAGAACUCUUUCCAAAGUAUCAAUAUCCUUCUGAAGAUACGGUCUCCAGUACUGUGUACAAUACUUCAAGUGAGGUCUCACCAGUGUUCUGUACAAUGACAUGAGCACUUCCCUCUUUCUACUGCUAAUACCUCUCCCUAUACAACCAAGCAUUCUGCUAGCAGUUCCUGCUGCUCUAUUACACUGUCUGCCUACCUUUAAGUCAUCAGAAAUAAUUACUCCUAAAUCCCUUUUCUCAGAUGUUGAGGUUAGUAGGGUAUCAAAUAUUCUAUAUUCUACCCUUGGGUUUUUACGCCCAAGAUGCAUUAUCUUCCACUUAUCCAAAUGAAAUGUCAGUUGCCACAGUUUUUGACCAUUUUUCUAAUUUACCAGCAUCACUUGCCAUUUGGCUUAUCCCUCCUGGAACAUCAAUCCUGUUUGCAAAUGUUAGUAUCAUCAGCAAAAAGACAUACCUUACCACCUUCUGCAAUAUCACUAUUUAAAAUAUUAAAGAGAAUGGGUCAAAGUACAGAUCCCUGAGGUACUCCAUUGGUAACUAGACCUAGAUUUGAAUAUACUCUAUUGACUACAACCCUCUGUUGCCUGUCACUCAGCCACUCCCUCACCCAUUCAACAGUAUUGAAAUCCAAACUUAAAGAUUGCAGUUUAUUGAUGAGCCUUGUGGCCUGUGUCAAAAGCCUUACUGAAAUUUAGGUAAACAAUGUCUACUGCACCACCCUGAUCUUUUAUUUUAGUUACCCAAUCAAAAAAUCUAUAAGAUUACUUUGGCAUGAUCUCCCUGAAGUAACCCCAUGUUGUUUUUGAUUUUGAAAUCCAUGUAAUUUUAGAUUUUCAACAAUCAUAUCCUUUAACAUGGUUUCAAUAUUAAUAUCCUUUAACAGCUUUUAAUACUGUUAGGAAAGAACUGUAUGCAGGGACGGACUGUCCACUCGGGCUGUUCAGUCAUCCGAGGGCCCAAGGCAGUCAGGGUUCCAGCCGCCUGAACAGCUAUACUCUGACUGGGAGAUCAGCGAUCUCCCCAACUAGAAAAACAUAAUUAAAUACAUAAGACAAGGUAAGGUUGCAGGGCCUCUUACUACAACCUACUGCACUGUAAGUGUCCCUAUCCUCCCCUUUCUCAGUGAAACCUGGUGUUCUGUGGGAGUUCUGGCUGCCAGGUUUCCUCCUCCUGUGUUGUGCUCUCUGUGAAUUUGUGUAUCAAAUCAGUGAGUGUGUUUGUCAGUGAGUGUGUCUGUUUAGAUGACCGGUCCCCCUCCAAUCACAUGGGAAAGGUGUUUUUACUCAUCUUUUUUCAACAUGCCGUGCCAGUCUCACUGCAUUCAUGGCUGAGAUCAUCAUCAAAGUUGAUUAUAGGAAAGCAUUGGAAGGCUAUGUAUUGCAAAACGCCACACUUCGCCAAUCAUCAUCUCCUCAUAGAGAUGCAUUAUUAUUAUUUAUAUAACGCCAUCAGAUUCCGUAGCUCUAUACAAUGGGUGGACUAACAGACAUAUAAUUGUAACCAGACAACUGGACGUACAGGAACAGAGAGGUGGAGGGCCCUGCUCAAUGAGCUUACAUUCUAGAGGGAGUGGGGUAUAGUGACACAAAGGGUAAAAGUAGGGGUAUGAAGUAGGUUGUUAGAAAAUUACUUAGUAGGGCUUAGUAGGUAAUUUUGACAGUUGCAGGAGAGGAGUCAUGGGGGUGGGGGAUAAAAACCUGCUAACAGUUUAAUUGAUAUGCUUUCUUGAAGAAGUGAGCUUUCAAUGAUUUUUUUGAAUGGAGUGGAGACUAGAAUUUGAGUGGAGACUGGAUGAAAGUCUUAUGGAGAAGGGAAAGGAGUUCCACAGAGGAGGUGCAGCCCUGGAGAGGUGGGAGUACGGACAGAGGAUAUACGUAAGUCUUUGGCAGAGCAUAAAGGCCUCGACGGGACAUACUUUUGUAUUAGGGAGGAUAGGUAGGUUGGAGCAGCAUUAUGUAGGGAUUUGUGAGCAAGCACCAGAAUUUUAAAUUGAGCCCUAUAUCUAGCUGGAAGCAAUGCAGGGACUGACUGAGAGGGGAUGCAUGGGUGGUGCGAGCGUACAGGAAAAUUAGUCUCGCCACCGCAUUCAUUAUAGAUUGCAGCGGUGCAAUCUGGGAACACGUAAGUCCACUGAGAAGGGGAUUGCAGUAGUCAAGGCGAGAGACAACAACCGCAUGGACCAGCUCCUUAGCUGCAUCUGGCGUUAAAUAGGGGCGGAGGCGCGCUAUGUUUUUGAGAUGCAAGCGACAGGAUUUGGCGACUGAUUGGAUAUGAGGGGUGAAGGAGAAGUUGUAAUCAAAAAGAACACCCAGGCAACGAGCCUGCAAGGUAGAGGUGAUGGUAAGGAGACAGACAAGGGAUAUUAACGCUUGAGGGAGGAAAGACCACAAGUUCUGUUUUGGACAGGUUGAGUUUAAGGAAGUGAGCAGCCAUCCAGUUGGAAAUUGCAGAGAGGCAGUCAGAGUCACGAGUCAAGAUGGGUGGAGAGAGAUCAGGGGUGGACAGGUAGAUUUGUGUGUCAUCUGCAUAGAAAUGAUAACGGAAGCCAAAGGAGCUGAUGAGUUUACCAAGGGAGGUGCUAUAGAUAGAGAACAGUAGGGGACCAAGGACAGAACCUUGGAGGACGCCAACAGAGAGUGGUUGGGGGGAAGAGGCAGAGUCAGAGAAAGAAACACUGAGAGAGAGUGCUGGGAGAGGAAGGAGGAGCACCAGGACAGAGCAGUAUCCCUUAGACCAACAGCUUCUCCGCAUUCCCCAUAAUUUUGAUGAUCAACAGUGUCAAAGGCAGCAGAAAGAUCAAGGAGACAGAGUUGCCAACAGAGUGGAGGGAUUACUGGGAGGGGCUGGUGAUGACUCAGCUGUCCUGGUCCAUGCUGGUACCAAUGACAAAGUCAGAGGAAAAUGGAAGGUCCUAAAGAAUGAGUUCAGGGAACUAGAAAGUAUGCUAAAGAAAAGGACCUCCAAGGUAAUAUUUUCAGAAAUAUUACCUGUGCUGCACGCUACAGCAGAAAGGCAGCGGGAGAUUAGAGAGGUCAAUGCGUGGCUGAAGUCUUGGUGCAGGAAAGAGGGUUUGGGGUUUUUAGAGCACUGGGACGAUAUUGCCUAAAUGGAAGAGGGUUUGCUGUGCUGGGGGAUAGGAUGGCUAGAAGGUUGGAGGAGAUUUUAAACUAGUGGUAGGGGGGGAGGGUCAAACCAGUCUAGAAAAUGGAGAUAGGAUAGAAACAAAGGGGGUGGAGAUGGGGGAGGGGAAAGCUCAGAACAGAGGAGGUAUGUAAUAUUGAUAAUGUACAAAAAGUACAAAUGACUCAUGAUAAUAUUAAAUGUAUGCUUACUAAUGCAAGGAGCCUAUAUAACAAAAUGGGGGAACUAGAGGCAAUAGCAUACACUAAACAAUAUGAUAUAAUAGGCAUAACAGAAACAUGGUGGGAUGAGACACAUGACUGAGCAGUUAAAUUAAAUGGGUACAUGUUAUUUAGGAAGGAUAGGAAAAACAAGAAGGGUGGUGGGGUAUGUUUGUAUGUCAACGAAGAGUUAAAGUCAAAUCUUAGGCAUGUGGAGUGUGACGAGGAAAAUGUGGAAGCUCUAUGGGUAGAUAUCUGCUUACAAAGGGAAAUCAAUUAUUGGUUGGAAAAUGUUAUAAACCGCCUAAUGUAAAUAUUAAUGAGGAAGAACGGCUGUUAGAGCAAAUUGGGAAAGCUGCAAAUCGGGGUAACACGUUAAUUAUUGGAGAUUUUAAUUACCCGGACAUAAAUUGGGAUAGAGGGACUAGUACUUCAGCAAGGGGAAUCAGGUUUUUAAAUGUGUUAAAUUACACCUUUACAUAGAAACAUAGACUGUGACAGCAGAUAAGAACCAUUCGGCCCAUCUAGACUGCCCAAUUUUAUAAAAUACUUUCAUUAGUCUCUUAUAUCUAAGAUAGCCUUAUGUCUAUCCCACGCAUGCUUAAACUCCUUCACUGUAUAAACCUCUACCACUUCAGCUGGAAGGCUUUUUCAUGCAUCCACUACCCUCUCAGUAAAGUAAUACUUCCUGAUUAGUGAUGUCCCUAACUGUUCGCCGAACGGUUCGCGAACGGUUUGCCACGAACGGUUCGUUGCGGACUCAUCAUUGAGUAAACUUUGACCCUGUACCUCACAGUCAGCAGACACAUUCCAGCCAAUCAGCAGCAGACCCUCCCUCCUCCUCACAGCUCACUAAGGAUGCAGCUUCACAGUGGAUGCUGUCCAGGAGGUGGGAGGGUCUGGUAGGGAGGGUCUGCUGCUGAUUGGCUGGAAUGUGUCUGCUGACUGUGAGGUACAGGGUCAAAGUUUACUCAAUGAUGAGUCCGCAGCGAACCGUUCACGAACAGUUCGGAACAUCACUAUUCCUGAUAUGUUUAAACCUUUGCCCUUCUAAUUUAAGACUAUGUCUUCUUGUUGAGGUAGUUUUUCUUCUUUUAAAUAUGGUCUCCUCCUUUACUGUGUUGAUUCCCUUUAUGUAUUUAAAUGUUUCUAUCAUAUCCCCCCUGUCUCGUCUUUCCUCCAUGUUACGAUCAUUUAACCUUUCCUGGUAAGUUUUAUCCUACAAUCCAUGAACCAAUCCAUGAAUCAUUAAGCUGAAGUGGUCUGGGUGCCUAGAGUGGUCCUUUAAAGAUUGCAGUUUAUUGAUAUGCCUUCUAUGUGCAACAGUGUCAAAAGCCUUACUGAAAUCUAGGUAAGCAAUGUCUACUGCACCACCCUGAUCUAUUAUUUUAGUUACCCAAUCAAAAAAAUCAAUAAGAUUAGUUUGGCAUGAUCUCCCUGAAGUAAACCAUGUAUUUUUAGAUGUUCAUCAAUCCUAUCCUUUAACAUGGUUUCCAUUACUUUCCCCACUACUGAAAUAAGGCUUACUGGCCUAUAGUUGCCCGACUCCUCCCUACUACCUUUCUUGUGAAUGGGCACAACAUUUGCUAACUUCCAAUGUUCUGGGACUACUCCUGUUAACAUGAUUGGUUAAAUAAAUGUUAAUGGUUUUGCUAGUACACCACUAAGCUCUUUUAAUAACUUUGGGUGUAUUCCAUCAGGUCCCAUUGACUUAUUUGUCUUUUUGUCUUUACUUUUGACAGUUGAAAUAGGACCUCCUCCUUUGUAAACGCACAUGUAAUAAAUGACUUAUUUGUCCUUUUUCUUAACUGAGGUCCCUUUCCUUUUUUUUUACUGACUGUGCUAUUUUCUCUUCUGUGUGAGAUUUGGAAGCUAUUAUAAGUUGCUUAGCCUCUUUCUGCCUAAUCUUAUAGAGCAUUCUGUCUUCCUCACUAUUUACUAUUUUGGCCACAUCUGCGUAGUACCACAGUGGUUUCUUGAAUAUUUUUGCUUUUACUAACAAGCCUAAUGCAAUUUUCUGUUGCCUUCAGCAGUGCAACUUUUAAAUAAUCCCAUUUCUCUUGGACUCCAUUUAAAUUGCCCCAAUCUGAUUAUGACUCCUUUUACACAUAUUCUAAUUUUAGAAAAGUCUUUUUUUAUUUUUUUUUUUAAAGUCUAAAACCUUUGUUUUUGUGUGGUAUGACUGUCACUGUUCUUUUAUUAAACCACACUGACUGAUGAUCACUGGAUCCUAAACUUUCAGUAAUAUCUGAUACCAAAUCUCCAUUUGUUAACACUAAAUCUAGUAUGGCCUCUUUAUGAGUUAGCUCCUCAAUGACUUGUUUUAGAGACAAUCCCAGUAGGGAGUUUAGAAAUAUGUGUGCUCCUGGCACAAUUAGCUAACUUUGUUUUCAAAUUCACAUCAGGAAGAUAACUUCCCCCUUCAUUGUAAUUUUAGCUAUUUCCUCAACUAGUAGAUUAUCUAACUCUUCUAUUUGUCCUGGGGGCCUAUACACAUACACGAGUUACUGUGUGAUUACCAAAUUCUAACGUAACAUAAAUGGACUCUCUGUUCGCCUCACUAACUUUUAUUAGGCUAGAUUUUAUGCUAUCCUUCACAUACAGGGCAACCCCUCCCCCUUUCUUGCUUUCCCUGUCUUUUCUAUAUAAAGAGUACCCUGGUAUUGCCAUGUUCCAGUCAUUUUUCUCAUUAUACCAUGUCUCAGUAACAGCAACUAAAUCUACAUUAUCAGUUGCCAUUAUUGCCACAAGUUCAUGGAUCUUAUUCCCUAAACUGUGAGCAUUUGUAGACAUGACUCUUAGCUUGUCAUUUUUUAACACACUUGCUAAAGGCACCUUCUGUCCUUGUUUUGGGGGGCAAUUGGAUUGAUGUUUUAUCACCCUUUUGCCCCCCCACCCCUCCUAGUUUAAAUACAUCCUAGCAAAACCUCUGAACUGCUCACUGAGAACAUUUGUUCCCUUUUGAGAAAGAUGCAAACCAUCUUUUUUGUACAGUUUAUUUCCAUUUCAAACAGAGCUACCAUGAGAAAUAAAGCCAAAUCCUUGCUCCUGACACCAUUCACCAAGCCACAAGUCCCUAAUACGCAUCCGCCUCUCGUUCUGAGUGUUAUGCACAGUGUGGAAGCAACCUGCUGUAUAUCAUUGGCAAAAACACUAAAAACUUCCUUAACCUCUGAAACCUCAUUGCAAGCCAAGUCAUUUGUCCCUGGAUGGACAAGUACAUCCAAUUCCCCUUCCUGCUUUGCUCGCUUAACAAUAUUACAAAUACGUCUCCUGUCUCUGUGAGCAGUAGCUCCGGGAAGACAUCUCACAAGACCACAAUUGUCCAUCUCCUCACCUCUUAUGAUGGAAUCCCCCAACAACAACUUCUUUCUAUUAGGCCUCACCAUAGUCUCCAAGCCUGUCUCCACAACACCACUACCCUCAGUGCCUGAGCCUGUCUCCACAACACCACUACACUCAGUGCCGGUCUCCAUAACACCACUACCCUCAGUACCUGAGCCUGUCUCCAUAACACCAUUACACUCUCUGAAAGUGCAGAAAAUGAAUUAUGUAGAGAAACAGACUGUGCAAUAUGCCUUUCAGCCUCAACUCUGUCUACCAGAUCCUACAGUAAUCCAUCUUCCAUUCCUAGUACAUCUCUGCGGCAGUGGCUUUGCAGCAGUUCCAGACUGAGUUUGUUUACCAGAUAAUUUACAAAUCUCAGACUUCAAAAAUACAAUCUCCUGCCGCAUAAUAGAGAACUGUCUACAGAUUAGACAGCAUCCAAAUCUCCAAAAAGUGGAACGUGAAACAAAUGCAUAACAACUAUUACACUGAACUAAGUCUGCCAUUUCAGUAAGGUGAAUAAUUUAAAUCAAACAAAUCUUAAAUUUUUAGUCCUCCUGAAUACCUCCGAUUUCUUCCAGUUUAUUUCCAGAAUAUCUCCAACCACACACUUAGAAGCAGCACUCUCCAGAAUAUCUCCAACCACACACUUAGAAGCAGCACUCUCCAGAAUAUCUCCAACCACACACUUAGAAGCAACACUCUCCAGAAUAUCUCCAACCACACACUUAGAAGCAGCACUCUCCAGAAUAUCUCCAACCACACACUUAGAAGCAGCACUUAGAUGAAGCAGCCAAGCUAUAUUAGCCAAGCUAAUGACAACAACCCUUAUAUAACUCCUAAAAUCACCACCCACUAGGAAUGUUUAACACCUGGGUAGGCCUCUGCUUGUUUGCAAACAAUAGCUAAUUAACCAGUAAUCAAUAGCAAGUAACUAGCUUAAUCAAAUCAAAUGCCUUACCAAAUUACCAACAGGAAAUCAAACCUUGUACAAUCAGUAACCUUUUCCUACAGAUGAAUCUUACCUGUAACAGUAGAAAAGAAAACUCUCUUAGCAAAAUCUUAGACAGUUGAAGCUUCUGUAAAACUCUCCAGAAUAUCUCCAACCACACACUUAGAAGCAGCACUUAACUACCAGUACCGCCCAUCUUGAGGCAGCACAGAAAAUUCUCUAUAGGUGGUACUUAGUACCAACACGUUUAAAUUCUAUGUCCCCCUUAACGUCAAACCAGUGCUGGAGAUGUCAUAAAGCUAAAGGUACUAUGUUACAUGUUUGGUGGUCAUGCGAAGCAGUUAAUUCCUUAUGGAAUGAUGUUAUCAAGAUGAUAAAACAUGUGACAAAUAUUGAACUAUCCCAAGAUCCUAAAACUAUAUUGUUACGACUACUUCCAAGUAAUUUACCAAAAUUAAUCAAGAAAAUUAUUUUUCUCUUAUUAAGUACAGCAUCUAUAUUAAUUGCUAGACAAUGGAAGACCAAGGUUUUACCUUCUCGACGAGAAAUUGAAGAAUUAAUGACCUCAACAGUGGAACAUGAAUUGUUAAUGUGGAAUCAAAUGAAAAUAGGGAAAUCGAGCCCUGGUAUAGACCAAAUGUGGCGGAUAUAUUUACUAUCGCAUACUAAUUAAACUCUGGAAUAUUUAAACCUAGAGGCCUCUAUACGGAAUACAUUUUGCUGACUAUAAUCAACAUAUAGAUGAUCUCAUUUAAUCAUUUAAUUAGUUAUGGAAGAAAAUAACUUUAUAAAUUAAGCUAGGUUAACACUCUUCCCCUACCCUGCUUUUCUGUUUUUGUUUUUGUUUUUGGCAUGAUUGGUAAGGGGAUAUUCUUUAGAGUGAUAACUGUCACUAUUAGUGGCUAAAGCAAUGUAGACAAUAUAAGGGUUAGUUUAGAAGAAAAGUAAAAGGAUAAAGAAGAGGAGAGGGAGGGAGAAGGGGAAAGAAAGGAGAGAGUAAAAAAAUAUUUUGUGAAUAUGUAUAUUAGUUAUUACUGUAAUUUAUUGUAUAUAAUUUAAGAUACAUGAACUAUAUAAGAUAGGUUAUAUCUUGGAAUUUAGGCAUAUAUAAAGUGAUGAACUAUAUGCUAUCGAUGAUAUGUACAGAGACAAGUGACCUUGUUUGGUUGUUUUUCCUUCCCUUUUUUUUCUUUCUGUAUCCCUUAUUAUUUGAAAAAGUUAAAAUAAAAAAGUAAAUUGCAAAAAAAAGAAGCAGCACUUAGAUGAAGUAACCAAGCUUUAUGUCACAACUGGUACAAGCACCAACUAGAAAGGAUGCUUGUCUGGAUCUCGUUAUAACAAACAAUGUUGAUCUUUUAACCAACAUUCAAGUAGGGGAGCAUUUGGGAAAUAGUGAUCACAAUAUGGUAAUUUUUUAAAUAAACUCAAAAAAGCAAAAGCACGUGGGGUACACUAAAAGUAUAAUUUAAAAAAAGCCAAUUUCAAUAAGAUUAGGGCAGCUCUACAACAUAUCGACUGGCAUAAACUCCUUAGUGAUAAAAACACUGAGGAUAAAUGGAAACUAUUCAAACAAAUAUUAGAACGGUACAUUUCUCAGUAUGUACCAUUGGGUAAUAAAUAGUGAUGUCCCGAACGGUUCGCAGCGAACAGUUAGCCGCGGACUCAUCGAGUAAACUUUGACCCUGUACCUCACAGUCAGCAGACACAUUCCAGCCAAUCAGCAGCAGACGCUCCCUUCCAGACCCUCACACCUUCUGGACAGCUCACUAAGAAUGCAGCUUCACAAUGAAUGUAAAAUGGAUGCUGUCCAGGAGGUGGGAGGGUCUGGGAGGGAGGGUCUGCUGCUGAUUGGCUGGAAGGUGUCUGCUGACUGUGAGGUACAGGGUCAAAGUUUACUCAAUGAUGAGUCAGCGGCGAACCGUUCGUGGCGAACCAUUCGGGACAUCACUAGUAAUAAAUAUAAAAGAAACAAAUUAAAACCAAUGUGACUUAGUAGAGAAGUAAAAGAAGAGAUUAAAAAUAAGAAAAGGGCAUUUAAAACAUUUAAAUCGGACACAUCAGAGGCAUCCUAUAUAAGAUUAUAAGGAAGCCAAUAAUGCUUGCUAAAAGGCAAUUAAAGUGGCUAAACUAGAAAAUUAGAAAUUGAAAGCAAAACCAACCUCCAACAAUUUUUCAAGUACAUCAAUUCUAAAAAAAACAAAAAAUGAAAGUGUAGGUAUACUGGAAACAGAGGUGGGUUUGUUAGCUAAUGAAGACCAGGAAAAAGCAGAAAUUUUAAUUAACUAUUUUUCUUCAGUAUAUAUUAAUGAGGAUCCUAUGACAAGAGAUAUGCAAAUGAUUGCUGCAAAAAACUUGCAGAUAUCUUGUGAAUGGAUAACUAGAGACAAGGUGCUACAGCUAUUAAAUAAAAUUAAUAUAAAUAAAGCUCUGGGGCCUGAUCGUAUUCACCCACGAGUACUUAAGGAGCUAAGUGGGGAAAUAAGUGAACCUCUGUAUUUAAUUUUUCAAGAUUCUUUUGUUUCAGGUAGUGUACCGGAGGAUUGGAGGAAGGCAGAUGUUGUUCCUAUGUUUAAAUAGGGUUCAAAAUCCUUGCCUGGAAAUUAUAGACCUGUGAGCUUAACUUCUGUGACUGGGAAAAUAUUUAAAGGGCUAUUAAGGGAUAAUAUUCAGGAAUUCAUUGGGAAGAACUUUAUUAGCAAUAAUCAGCAUGGUUUUAUGAAACAUAGGUCAUGUCAAACUAACCUAAUUGCAUUCUACGAAGAAGUAAGUAGAAGUAUAGAUCAGGGUGUUGCAGUGUAUGUGAUCUACUUGGAUUUUGCCAAGGCAUUUGAUACGGUUCCUCACAAUAGGUUAGUCUUCAAACUAAAAGAAAUUGGUCUAGAUGAGUAUUCUUGUUGUUGGGUAGAACAUUGGCUCAAGGAUAGAGUUCAAUGAGUUGUCAUUAAUGGUAAAUUUUCAGGCUGGCCAAAAGUGGUAAGUGGUGUCCUACAGGGUUCUGUUUUGGGACCGCUUUUAUUUAACAUAUUUAUAAAUGAUCUUGAAAUAGGCAUUGAAAGCCAUGUAUCAGUGUUUGUAGAUGACACAAAACUUUGUAAAGUAAUAAAAUGUGAGCAGGAUAUUGUUUGCUGCAGAGGGAUUUGCAUAGAUUGGGGGACUGGGCACUAAAAUGGCAGAUGAAAUUUAACGUAGAGAAAUGCAAAGUUAACAUUGAAUUGGGAACGUUCAGCACCUCCAUGCAGAAAAUGGAGACACUGAACGUAGGUGCUAUACAAAGGCUGUCUGAGUGAUUGUCACUAGAGGUGUUACUAGGCAACAGUGUAAACAUUGCCUUUUCUAUUAAAAGGCAGUGUUUACAUUGAUGUGUGCAGGGACAGGCCAUAGACACCAGAGCAACUUCAUUAAGCUGUACUGGUUUUGGAUUCUCUAGUGUUCCUUUAAGAAUUGUAUUUUGAGGUUGUAAAACCUGGCUCCUAACAUUUUUAGCUGGCUGCUAGAUUCUAAGCAAAUUUGUCAAGGCCUGUCCUCGCUGCACCCACCUCAACCUUUAUCCUUCUCUGUAACCACUAAAGCCUCUAUCCUUCCCUGUACCCACCACAGCACCUGUCCCUCCCAGCACCCACAACAAAUCUUCUGCCCCUUUGCGCCUACAACAUCCACUCUACUGCAACUACAGCCCCCUUGUACCUAUUACAGCCCUAUUAUUUAUAUUAGAGGGAGGGGAAGAGGGGGAACAUGCCAACAGUUUUAAUAAAACACUGUAUUUGGUUGGAUUAACACCUUAAAAGUGAAAUCUGAUCUUGUUUGGGGGGCCCUGUGGUUGUGGGAGUUAUGAUUGUGUGGAUCUCACACAGCCAUUCUAAGGUCUGGGCAGAGUAGAAGUGGCCAAAACAAGCUUGCACCAUGAGAGAGGCCCUUGGUCCCCCAUUGCCAGAUGUCCCUGUGAGUUGUCAGUCCGUUCCUGGCUGUCUGCCAUUUCUCUUGUCCUUCUUGGACUUUCCUGUUUUUUUGUUUUUUUUGUGUGUAUAAUGAAUAAGCAUAAAAGAAAUCUACUGAAAAAGAUUUCACGGGUCUCCUAAUUUUUAGACGUGCAGUUGCCUAAUCCAGGCAAUUAUCAUUUAUUGGGGAGGGGCCUGCACAACUAUAAUCCGCUAGAGAAUGAAUGAAACUUUUUUUUUUUUUUUUCUUCCAUACAAUGUAAGGCAAUUUAACGCCACAUAAUAUUCUAUUUUACACAAUGCGCAUGUGCAAAAUUUGUCACUAUGCACAAUGCAUCAAACAGGACAUUAACUAUAUUUGAGGCUUGUGUCAUUUGACGAUAGAUGACGCACCAGAAUGAUACAAGCGAGAUAUGGUAACAACGACACAUAGAUGGAUUUGGUUGGUACAAAUUUGAAGCCAGUUUUAAUAUCAAUGAGGGGCCCUUCAAAUUCACAUGAAAUGUUCUGUCGCUUGAGAGCAAAGUAAACAUGUUUCUGGUACGUCAAUAUUGGUAAGUGCUCUCAUUUUUUGACACAAGAGUCUGGAGGUUUGGAAUUAACUAGAUUUUGAUGCAGGUAUGUCAAUAUUAGAAGAUGACCUUGCAAGCAAUGCCAAGAGUAUGGCUGACUUAUUGCACAACAAAUUUAUGUUGCGUUCCAACUGCUGUGCCCUCUCCCUCUCCAAAUAAUCAUACCUCAUCUCCCUCACCUCCAUCUUCUAAUAUAACCCCAAACACCUCUUUCAAACUUUUUUUUUACUAUUCUUUGUUUUUAUGGUGCAAAUGAUAACACAUAUGGUUGCAAUGGCAAGGUCAUUAAGAACCGUAAAAAACAUUUGUAUGGCAUGUAGAAUAACAGCACAAUUUUGCACAUUUUGUUAAUUAUAAUAUAUCAAGAUGAGAAAGGUUGCUCAUAAAAAGUAGACUAGGUUGAGUGAUGAGACCUCGUUAAACAAAAUGGCAUGGAAAAUGAUUUGCUUAAGAGUAAAAUAAAGUGGAAAAUGUAUUCAUACUUACCGUAAUUUUCUUUUCCCGGCUCUUAUUCAUGGCAGCAUAUACUUCAUGGGUUAGCACAGCCCCUUAGAGCCGAUAGGACAGGAAAAACACCAAAGGCUUUAAAAGGAGGCUCCAUUCCUAAGGUCCUCAGUCAGAUAAAUAGAGACAUUGGUGGGUGGGUAGUAUAUGCUGCCAGGAAUAAUAGCCAGGAAAAGAAAAUUACGCUAAGUAUGAAUACAUUUUCCACUUUCAUGGCAGCAUAUAAAUCAUUGGAAUACCCAAGCUAACAAAGGGAGGGACAGAAAUUUAAAUAACUGUCAAUCAAAUAAUCAGAACAAUUCAACAUAGAUUAGAAGAUUGAACUGAGUUAAGUACUUGACGUCCAGAUUGCACAUCAUUGACGGCUUUAACGUCCAGUAUUAAAUGCCGGACAAACGUGUCUAAAGAGGUCCAAAUGCCAGCUUUACAAAAAGUGUCAGCAGAAAUCAUUGCCACUGAAACCCAGGAUGCUGCAACAGCAUGAGUGGAGAGUGCCCUGAUACCCUUCGGCACAGGUAGAGAAUGGCAUUAAUAAGCUUUGCUCUUAGUCAGGAUAUCUGUGGCUAAAUGCAAGACAACCAUAUCCUGUUGAAAAUUAGUGAAUGGGGGUCCACAGAACCAAGCCUGGAGUUAACACAUUCUCCUUGCUGAGGUAUCAGCCACCAGCAACAUCACUUUCUGUGCUACCACCAUGGAAACUCCUGCUAGUGGUUCGAAUGAUGGUUUAGUCAGAGCCUGUGAGACCAGUGGUACGUCACAUAUUGGCUUCAACACCCUCAGUGGAGGCUUAGUUUAAUUGCUGCUUACAUGAAGCAAAGCACCAGGGGUUCCAAUGUUCAAUAGGCACCCAUCAAUGUGGAAAGUGCAGAUAUGUGCUCCUCUUGAUUGUUAUAACUCAGGCCCUUUCUAGGACUGAUGGAGGAGUAAUUCCAGCCUCUAUUCUUGAGACCAACAGACAAAUACAUGCCAAGUUUUGUAAAGUAUUUAUAGGACUGUAAGAGACCGUCUAAGGGAUGCUUAUACUUAUAGAGACUCCCGCAUCAACACCAGAACUUGAGGAUCUUGGUGUGUCAAGGGACCUUGCAAUAGGUCUGGAUGUACUGAAAUUUCCCUUGGAGGUUCCCGAUUCAUCAUACUCAUCAUAGAAAUUUAGUCGACAUGGCCUUCCACUGUCUCCUUUUGAAUUACCUUUAGGAGUAUUUAAAACAGGAAAAAUAUGUACAUCAGACUAAAAUUCCAAAUUUGAGUCAGCGUAUCCUGACCUUGAGCAUUCUGGUCCUAAAAUCUAGUAAAACACUUCUAGACCUGGUAGUUCCAAGAAAUGGCCAUCAGAUCUAUGUAGGGUAUCAGUCAAAUCUGAGUCAACCCUGAGGAUACGUUGGGACAUAGUUGCCAUUCCACCUUGUUAAGUUAUUCGGCUCAGGUAAUCAGCCAUUGUAUUUGGAGUCCCUGGCUGUUCUUCUGUGCCCUGAUCAUCGUGGGUUGUAAUUCCCUCAUCAAUAAGUGGCUGUGAGACCCACCUUGACGAUUGAUAUAGGAUACAGUCGCAUUGAUAUUUGAGCAAAUUUGGACCCACUUGUUCUUCGGCAACCCUCUGAAGUGAAGAGCUCUUAAAAUGACUUGUAAUUCCAUACAUUUGAAUGGCAAUAUCGUGCCUUCCCUUAUCCACAGACCUUGUGUAACAUGGUCCAAACACUGUGCAACCAAUCUUUGAAAACUGCAAUCCAAGCUUAUAAUUGACCAAUGAGGUUCUGUGCACUGCAAACCCAGAGAUAUAUUCUCUUUUCAGCUACCAGGUAUGGUGUAACCCCACUGAUGGUGAUAUUGUCAGUGGCUGGCUCCAACCAAGAUAGGAACGACAUUUGAGGAAUCCUGAGAUGCCAUUGGGUCCAUCUGACAAGUUUGAUACUGGAGCCAGGAUUCCUAGUAGUUGCAUAUACUUUUUGCUGCUACCAAGCAAAAAUGAAGAAACUGGAAGACAAAACUUCCACAAUCUGUGGAACUGUUCCUGAAAUAGGAGAAACGCAGAGCAUAUAAUUUUCCACCCAGAAAUAUCAACCUCUGAACUGGUGUGAAAUUGCUUUUCUUGAUAUUCAUCAAGGAGACAAACUUCAGGAGUUCUGAAAAAACUAUAUCCCUCUGUGGACCUGCUUUCUGUGGGUCUGAGGCUACCAGAAGUAGAACAUCCACAUAAUGGAACCAGGUGGUGUUCUGGACUCUCAAUAUCACUAUGAGCAAGGUUCUUGGGGCAACUGGUAGGGCACUAAAUUGGAAGUUCUCUUCUGAGAUAAUGCUGAAGAGCUAGGGCUACUGGGAUGUGAUAGUAAGCCUUUUUUGAGAUAUAGAGAUAAGGAAAUUAUCCUUCCAAAUUGCUUGCGUUAUGGAUCUGAUUGACUCCAUCCCAAAGACUCUGACAUUCAGCCUUUUGCUGCAGUAUAGGCUUCCAUGUAUAAAUAUACAACGUUGCGGCAUAUACUGGGUCCCUGUUUAGCAGAAAUGUUUUCCUGUUAAGGGCGAAUCCAGAAACACCAGAAGAGAGGCAAAUAUUGUCCCUUGAACUGCUCUUGUUAUGGGACCUAAGAAGCCACCUCUUCGUCCCAAAGGCUUCUUACAUAUUCCUCCAGUGCUAUAUCUUGCAGCCCUCAACCGCCUUUUAAAUGGAUUUAUCCAAAGCUUUCCCAAACAGCAGCUCCCCUUCAAAUAGAAUGGUGUAGAUGGCAGACUUGGAGGAUGAGUCAUCAUCCCAGAAACAUAACCAUAAUGCUUUUCUAGCUGCUAUUUAAAGUAAAAAAGGGGCACUGUCAAAUUCUAUUACGAAAAAAACAAGCUGAUUUAAAACUGGCUGAAAACACCACUUACCCAUGUCUGGAGACUCUGCAAAUACUUUACAAAUACGUUUGGGAUGUUUACUGUAAUUUUCUCUCCAUUUUAGUUACUUUCUGGCAGAUGCCCUAAUCCAAGAUGGCUGUCGCAACUUGUAUUCCCAUAAUGCAAGUCACCGGUAUUGGGCUCUUUAAGGCACAAACUGCACAUGCGCGGGCGCCUUUCGAGUGCAUUUGCCAUUUAGAGACUGGGGAGAAAGCACAGUUUAUACUAUGAUGCCUUUAAACUGUGGGGCAUUACGCAGCUGUAAUUAGGCUGUGAUGCCUUUAUACUAUGAUGCCUUUAAACUGUGAUGUCUUUAAAGGCAUCACAGCCUAAGGCACAGCUGCAUAAUGCCCCACAGUUUAAAGACAUCACAGCUUAAAUGCAUCACCGUAUAAAAGCAUUACCACAUAAGGCACAACUGCUUAAUGCACCACAGUUUAAAUGAAUCACAGUGUAAACCUAGCAUAGUAUAAAAAAUCACAGUAUGAAGGCACCAUAAAAUAAAGGCACCCUAAAAUAGCAAAAACAAAUAAAGUAAUGAAGAGACGUCCAUAAGUAAAGGGAGCCAAAUGGUCACAUCCUAAGGGCUGAAGGACAGGAAAAAGACUGAGGACCUUAGGAAUGGAGCCUCCUUUUAAAGCCUUUGGUGUUUUUCCUGUCCUAUCGGCUUUAAGGGGCGGAGCUAACCUGUGAUGUAUAUGCUGCCAUGAUUAGCUAGGAAAACUAAAUCUAUAGAAAUCAUGUCAUAUUGACUAAAGACUCCUGGGCCCCAGAGAAAGACCCAGCCUGAGAGGUAAAAGUGGCCCCUAUAAUAACUGCCCAUUAGCCAGCAGAGAGGCAACCUCAGUCCCCAAGCAGAGAUGAUUUAAUUCCCAUCACCGGCAGUGCACAGUUCCAACCUUCAGUCGCAGGCCCCAAGCAGGCAGUGAACAGCCUGUCCUCCACAAAGGCCACGCCAGCUUGGCAGGAUGUAGAGUGGAUUGGCUUCUCCAUGGAAUCUCCGUGGAAUGGCUUGUAUUGGAGUAGCAGUGCUUAUUUAUCCAUGCUGAAGUAUCAGUAUAUGGUAAGGAGAUGGGGUUUGGCAGGCACUUUAGGUGGUCCGCAAUAAUCGAUCAGGCCCUCAAAGCAAGCGGCCCGACGCACUCUCUGAAAAGGCAGUGUUUACAGCAUGUCCCUGCAAGCUUUUUGCUGUAGACAGCAGAACAAAUACCUUAACCCAGUGGUUUCCAAACUUUUUAGGUUCAAGACGCCCUUAAUAUUUAAAUAUUUUAACAAGGCACCCCAAAUCAAAAAAAAUUAUAGGUUGUAUAAAUAUACAACGUUGCGGCAUAUACUGGGUCCCUGUUUAGCAGAAAUGUUUUCCUGUUAAGGGCGAAUCCAGAACUUAAUCCUGGGGGGGGGGCACUGGCAGAUAAUUUAAAGAAACAAUCCAGGCACAAAAACCACUACAGCACUAGGUAGUAAUUAUGGUGCCAGGAGUGUUGUGGUGCCCUCCGAGGGUAAGUCGUCAAACUGUUUAAGAACAGUUUGACAACUUACCUUGGGUCUGCCGUGAUGGGGGCUGUAGUAGCGGAUAGGUGCAGUAAUGUGUGUGUGUGGUGUGCAAUGUGUGUGGCUUUAGGUGUGUGUGUGUUUGUGUGAGGGGUGUAGUGUGUUUACUGGGGUGCAUUGUGUUUGUGAAAGAUGUAGAGUGUGUGUGGGGGGGGGUGCAUUGUGUGUGUGGGGGAGGGGAUCAAUGUGUGUAUUGAGGGGUACAGUGUGUGUGUGUGAGGGGUACAGUUUGUAUGUAUGGGGGUACACUGUGUGUGUAUGGGGAGGAAAUUAGUAAAUAUACACUUUUUUUUAAUUUAAAAAAAAUAAUUAUUUUCAUAUCCCCCCCUCCCUGCUUACCUUUGCCUGGGGGAGGGGCAAUCCCUGGUGGUCCGGUGGAGAACCCCAUGUGGUGAGAGUGAACUCUAGCAGAUUCACUCUCACGAGAUUUGGAGUGUUGCUGUGCUCUUCCUCCCGGCUGCAGUAUUAUACUGCUAGUGGGCCGGUGACGGAUAUCUCUGAGCCGGCAGGGGAGAGGGAGGCAAGGUUCUAUGAUCAUUCGAUCAUAGCACCGGGGAAAUAUCUCAUGGCGCCCCUGUGUGCACACAGUUUGGGAACCGCUGCAUUAACGCCUUAAGGGUGAAGGCAAUUGUACAAGUUCUGAUCAAAACAAAACCUGGAAAUUUAUGUCUGUUCAACACUUAUUAUAUAUCAUUUUGUUCAAGAGAAACAGGGCUUUCAUUUCACAUCAAAUAGUUAUAUAUGAAAUCUAAAAUCUAAAAAAAAAAGUGUGAAAUUAAGAAAUUUUGCUAUUUUUCAAGUUCUGCAUGACAUUUUAACUAUGAAUGUCAUAAAAUUGUUAAUGUUAACUGCAAUAAAAUACACAUAUUUGUAUUUACCAAUGGCUCACAAGUACAACAGUACCUCUUAUUUACAGGUUUUAUGGGGUUUUGGAAACUUACAGAGUCAAAUAUAGGGCUUUCCCCUUUUCCAUUUUUUCCACUUUGAAAUUUGCCAGAUUGGUUUGUUGGCCCUAUGUUGCCUUUGAGACCGUAUAGCAGCUCAGGAAUGAAAAUGAACCCCAUGCUGGCAUAUCAUUGGGAAAAGCAGACAACCCAGGGUAUUCAAAAUAGGAUAUGCCCAGUCCUUUUUUUAGCAGCCACUUAGUCACAAACUCUGGCCAGAGUUAGUCUUCGUGUUUUUUUUUUUUUUGCCUUUAUCACAAAAAAAAACUUUUUCACCAAUGAUGAUAUCAGCAUUAUACAUUUUAUUGCUCUAAAACACUUCUAUUUGUGUUCAGCAAUACCUCAUAUACAGGUUUUAUGGUGUUUUGGAAAGUUAGUGUCAAUAUUCGGCUUGCCCAUGUCAAUUUGUUUGUCAGGCAGUCCCAGUUGGGAUCAUCGCAGAUCGCCAGUCUAGGGAAGUGCAGAGUGGUGCAGUGGCUGGCUGGGCAUAUUAUGCAGCCCUGUGGCAUUUAAAGCCACCUCCUAAACGACAGCAUAGUACACCCGCCAUUCUUAAGGGGUUAAGCUAUAGUUGUUCUAGAGACUCUAGUGUCCCUUUAAGUGCAUGCAUGUUUUCAUUUGUGGUAUAUCUACUAAACAGUGAUUUAUUUAGGUAGUUAAGUGUACCUUUUAGGUCAACAAGCCUUCAUAACCUUUACCCUGCAGGCACAUUGACACUGACAUUUUCUUCAUUCAAAUCAGUCACCAAAUCCUGUCCCAUUUAACUUAACCCCUUAUGGACCGUGGAGGUAUAAGGUACGUCCGUCAAAAAACGGUCAUUAAGGACCGCAGACAAAACUCAUACGUCCUCUGUAAAUUUGAGCGCUGGAAGCAAUUGCUUCCAGCCGCUCUGAGGGCAUUACACAAUGCCUUGAUAUCGAGGCAUCUUGGAAUACCCACCCACACUGCCGGGCACCCGGAGCGAUCACUUCUGGGUUGCCGCACGUGGCACCCGGCAGUGUGAACAAGAGCAUCGGAAGCAUUCAGGCAGGCUUCCGAUGCUCUGCCUGUAUGGAGUGGCACUCAGUUAAAAUAAUUUUUUUUAAAUUAACCCCUACCCUCCCUCCCUCCCUCCCCCCCCAUGUACUUGCCGAUCACUGCCAUUCCCCCGCUGUCGACAGGUCUUCUUCUGAGGGGAACUGUCUGGGCCAUGAGCCAAGACUUUAUUACAAUUUAUACAUACAUUUAAACCCCCAACAGCCCCAUUUACAUACAAUAGGGUACAUAGAGCACUAUAGUACAAGGAAGGGUGGGGUCAGACAAUAGCAAGGGCUGAUGGGAGAUUGUGGAGGGACAAAGCAGCCAAUUUAAACUGGUCUGGCAGUGUCCCUGGGAAAACACCCUGCUGCGGAAACAAUAGGACAGGAAUAAGGGGGAGGGGAAGAGGCACAGACUAGCAAUACACUCUGAGAGAUAAUUGAGUCAGGAACUGUACAAACUCAAUUAUCUCCAGGUACAGAAAAACGCUCAAUUUACAAACACCCCAAGAUCCAUGGAAACCCCACAAGAGUCACAUCCUCGGAUAGCCCUGAUCUGGGUGACCAACAUAUCCAAAAAUCACCCAGAUCGGUUCAGUGGUUUGGUUUUGCCAUGGAAGUCACUUUUUAGCAUGUCUUUUUGCAGGUGCCCUUCCCCCAUACACGCACACAAACUGCACCCCUCACACACACACACACACACACACACACUGCAUCCCUCACGUAUACCAUUGAGUUUUAUUAUUUCUGGCAGGCGCCGGUCCACAAAAUAUUUCUCCUCUUUUCGCCGGUCCCCGGGUGCUAAAAGGUUGCAGAUCACUGGUUUAAGCUAUCUACAUAUCAUUUGAUUCCCUCUGUCUAUUUGUCUGUCAUCCUUUUAGAUUGUAAGAUUGCUUAAGCUGGGCUCUCUUCACCUGCUGUCUCGUAUAAUAAACAUGUUUUAUUAGUAUUACUUGUUUCAUGUGCCAAGAAUAUGAUAACUCUGAGAAUGGACAAAGUUUAGGGAAACUCAGAAGCUUUCUCUUCGGUUAGUCCCUGUUCAAAAAUAAUUUUGCUCACUUGUGCCAUUACGAAGAGAACCUAUACCAUUCACAUAUCAGACUGGUUACAUCCACAAGUGCAGCCCAGAACCGAAAUUCUUGCAAGAUCUCUCUGCAGAAGAGAGACAGCAACCCCAGACAAUCGUUUUGCGCUUUGCGAAGUGUGCCUGAUACACCUAUGGGGAGCUUGUCUUGUUUACUGUGGAAUAUGUUGCAACUAUAUAAAUUCUUGUAAUUGUGCAUACACCUAAUACUUAAUUUAUUUGUUCCUUUUCAUUAUUAUUAUUAUUUCAGACUUACAAAAGGAAGAUGUCUUUCAAUGCGAGAUUGACUACGAAGGAUUUGAAGAACUUGAAAACAGAAAGUCAAAGAGGAGUAAAAGAAAAAAUAAGAGACAAAAAAUAAUGUGAUUGUGUUCUAAUCUAGAAAAGACUAAAUUUAUUAACAAGAGCCAGAAAAGCUUUUCUUCCAUUUGUGUACAUGCCG